This 497-nucleotide ribosomal RNA is filed under the name uncultured bacterium. RNAcentral describes it as "partial 16S ribosomal RNA". It matches the Rfam family "Bacterial small subunit ribosomal RNA", at positions 28 to 507 of the family's 1533-position model. The record is from RNAcentral.
GACGAACGCUGGCGGCGUGCCUAAUACAUGCAAGUUGAGCGAUGAAGAUUGGUGCUUGCACCAAUUUGAAGAGCAGCGAACGGGUGAGUAACGCGUGGGGAAUCUGCCUUUGAGCGGGGGACAACAUUCGGAAACGAAUGCUAAUACCGCAUAAUAACUUUAAACAUAAGUUUCAAGUUUGAAAGAUGCAAUUGCAUCACUCAAAGAUGAUCCCGCGUUGUAUUAGCUAGUUGGUGAGGUAAAGGCUCACCAAGGCGAUGAUACAUAGCCGACCUGGGAAGGUGGACGGCCAAAUUGGGACUGAGAAACGGCCCAAGCUCCUACGGGGGGCAGCAGGAGGGAAACUUCGGCAAUUGAGGGAAGGCUUACCGAGCAACGCCGCGGGAGAGAAGGAGGGUUUCGGAUCGUAAAACUCUGUUGGUAGAGAAGAACGUUGGUGAGAGUGGAACGCUCAGCAAGUGACGGUAACGACCCAGAAAGGGACGGCUAACUACGUG